GAUAACCUACCUAUAAGACUGGGAUAACUUCGGGAAACCGGAGCUAAUACCGGAUAAUAUUUUGAACCGCAUGGUUCAAAAGUGAAAGACGGUCUUGCUGUCACUUAUAGAUGGAUCCGCGCUGCAUUAGCUAGUUGGUAAGGUAACGGCUUACCAAGGCAACGAUGCAUAGCCGACCUGAGAGGGUGAUCGGCCACACUGGAACUGAGACACGGUCCAGACUCCUACGGGAGGCAGCAGUAGGGAAUCUUCCGCAAUGGGCGAAAGCCUGACGGAGCAACGCCGCGUGAGUGAUGAAGGUCUUCGGAUCGUCCAACUCUGUUAUUAGGGAAGAACAUAUGUGUAAGUAACUGUGCACAUCUUGACGGUACCUAAUCAGAAAGCCACGGCUAACUACGUGCCAGCAGCCGCGGUAAUACGUAGGUGGCAAGCGUUAUCCGGAAUUAUUGGGCGUAAAGCGCGCGUAGGCGGCCUUUUAAGUCUGAUGUGAAAGCCCACGGCUCAACCGUGGAGGGUCAUUGGAAACUGGAAAACUUGAGUGCAGAAGAGGAAAGUGGAAUUCCAUGUGUAGCGGUGAAAUGCGCAGAGAUAUGGAGGAACACCAGUGGCGAAGGCCCCUUUCUGGUCUGUAACUGACGCUGAUGUGCGAAAGCGUGGGGAUCAAACAGGAUUAGAUACCCUGGUAGUCCACGCCGUAAACGAUGAGUGCUAAGUGCCAGGGGGUUUCCGCCCCUUAGUGCUGCAGCUAACGCAUUAAGCACUCCGCCUGGGGAGUACGACCGCAAGGUUGAAACUCAAAGGAAUUGACGGGGACCCGCACAAGCGGUGGAGCAUGUGGUUUAAUUCGAAGCAACGCGAAGAACCUUACCAAAUCUUCCCAUCCUUUGACAACUCUAGAGAUAGAGCCUUCCCCUUCGGGGGACACCGUGACAGGUGGUGCAUGGUUGUCGUCAGCUCGUGUCGUGAGAUGUUGCCUUAAGUCCCGCAACGAGCGCAACCCUUAAGCUUAGUUGCCAUCAUCCAGUUGGGCACUCUAAGUUGACUGCCGGUGACAAACCGGAGGAAGGUGGGGAUGACGUCAAAUCAUCAUGCCCCUUAUGAUUUGGGCUACACACGUGCUACAAUGGACAAUACAAAGGGCAGCGAAACCGCGAGGUCAAGCAAAUCCCAUCCAGUUGUUCUCAGUUCGGAUUGUAGUCUGCAACUCGACUACAUGAAGCUGGAAUCGCUAGUAAUCGUAGAUCAGCAUGCUACGGUGAAUACGUUCCCGGGUCUUGUACACACCGCCCGUCACACCACGAGAGUUUGUA
Molecule: ribosomal RNA, 1310 nt
Filed under: Staphylococcus aureus
Lineage: Bacteria; Bacillati; Bacillota; Bacilli; Caryophanales; Staphylococcaceae
Description: bacterial SSU rRNA
Rfam family: Bacterial small subunit ribosomal RNA
Source: RNAcentral